GUAAAUUUUGGGGCCCUGUUUUGGAAUAGAACAAAUUGUUGAUUUGAAAUCGGGGGCCUGGGGCAAAUCGCCCCAGUUACCCCCCCCCCUUUGAGCGGCCCUGUAAACCAAAACAUGUAACAUUUAUACUUAAACAAGAAAGAACAAAAUAGUAAUAAAUAUCGCGUUUUCUCUGUGUAGGUAAAUGGUUCAUUGUCAGAACAAACGAGGAAGUAUAGACAAGGGGGCGGUAAUGUCGGCGAGAACCUUGUACUUACCUAUAUUUCUUUCUAGAUUGUAUGUAAAAUAAUGCGUUAGCUCUGUUCUAUUAAAUGGUCCAGUGUCAGAAUCAAUAGAAAAAUGUAGGCGAAUAGAUUGGAAUGUCGGUGAAUGGUCUAUUGCAGGGAUGGGGAUGGGGGAUUUGGUUCGAUUCGGCCCGCUACUUAUACCAGAAUCUAUAUCCUCAAAAAACAAUAUUCAUGAACAGGAUGAUUGAGAAACGUCGUGAGAGCGUUUUGCGAAUUUCUUCCACAAAUUUGGACCCAAAUUUCGACGCUAUAAUUACUGAACAGUCGAAAUUUCAUUUUUCAUACUACCCCAAGACAUCGAAACAAAAAUUUUUUCAAGCUGAUUUUUUGUUACGUAUAAAAAAUCCUCUUUGGCCCGCUUAGAUGGGAAUGUUGGUGGGCACCCUGUGUUCUUAUUUUCCUUUAAAGAACUGCUCAUUGUGUGUAAAAUAAUGCAUUCUCUCUGUUUUAGUGGAAUAGUCCAGUGUCAGAAAUCAAUUUAGGCAAGCUGAUGGGAAUGUCAAUGAGAACCGUGUCUUCUUAUUUUUCUUUAACCGAUUGUGUGUAAAACAAUGCAUUCUCUCUGUUUAGAUUAAUGGUCCAGUGUCAGAAAUCAAUGGAAAAAUUUGACCAAGCAGAUGGGAAUGUCGGUGAGAACCUUGUGUUUCUAUUUUUCAUUAAAUGUUGAUUUUGUGUAAAAUAAUGCAUUAUCUCUGUUUCAGGUGAAUGGUCCACUGUCAGAAAUCAAUGGAAAAGUUUAGGCAUGCUGCUGGGAAAGUCGGUGAGAACCUUGUGUUCUUAGUUUUUUUUAAAUUGAACCUUGCGGGUUAAAUAAUCGUUGUUUUAGGUAAAUGGUACAGUUUUAGAAUCAAUGAAAAGAUUGAGUCAUGUAGAUGGGAAAAAUUGCCCAUUGUGUGUAAAAUAAUGCUUUUUCUCUGUUUAGGAGAAUCGUCCAGUGGCGAAAUCAAUGGAAAAAUUUAGGCAAAGAGAUGGGAAUGUCGGUGAGAACCUUGAAUUCUUAUUUUCUUUAAAAUUGCCGAGUGCGUGUAAAAUAAUGCGUUGUCUCUGUUUGGGUGAUUGGUCCAGUGUCCGAAAUCAAUGGAAAAAUUAAGACAAGCAGAUGGGAAUCUCGGUAAAUGGUCCACUGUCGGGAAUCAAUGGAGAAAUGAAG
Molecule: long non-coding RNA, 1437 nt
Organism: Photinus pyralis (common eastern firefly)
Lineage: Eukaryota; Metazoa; Arthropoda; Insecta; Coleoptera; Lampyridae
Exons: 3
Source: RefSeq, a predicted model, not a curated record